AAAGGCUGAGGCAGGGGGCGGGGAGGUGACGCGGGCAGAGCCGGAACGCGAAAAAUCCGUCGGGGGCGCGCACGGGCGCCGGAUCGAUCGCGGCCGCUGCGGAGCCGGGGCGCGGAGACCAACGCCUGCCCCAGCUGCCAGGAAACUGCCGCUUUCAAACCCGCCGCAACCUCCGCCUCCUGCCUCUUCCCUUCCCCCCGCCCUCGCCCAGCCCUCUUCCAGUGCCCCGCCCCCUCGCGGCGCCCGGCGCGCUGCCGUCACCGGCCGGGCGCUCGGGAACGAGCCCAGCACUCAACUCUCUCGCCGGGGAUUGGCCUGCGGCGGGCAGCGGGCGGGCCGUCGGCGAGAAUGAAGACCACUAAUUGAAUUUUUCACAAUAGCCAAGAGGUGGAAGCAACCCGAAUGCUCAAGGAUAAAUGAAUAUAUAAAGACAAUGUGGUACAUACACGUAAUGGAAUCGUGUUCAUUUUUGAAAAAGAAGUCCUGUCACAUGCCACAACACAGAUGAAGCUUGAGGACAUUAUGCUCAGUGAAACAAGAAAUGCUACGUGAUUCUAUUAUAUAAGUCUAGAAAUGAAUGAAGACCAAACAAAUGAAAACAGCAAAGGUCAUGUAUUCUGUGCUUGCUGGAGCAAGGAAGUCAUCAACUACACGUGCUUUGGCAGAGAUUCAGAGGCCAGCAGAGCAAUGGAAAAAGAACCUUCAGGUGUCCCUGAGAGGAGGCUGCUGGCCUGGGAAAGCGGGAGGCCAGGUGGCUAGAAAAAGGACGUCCCGUGUGAUUGGACAGGGGCUCAUCUAAACUUUCAUGGAAUAAUUCCUGACCUUCAAGAAGGGAAGAGGGCAUGGCCAAGAAUACUUUUGGGAUAUAAUGCUUUUAGUUACCGAUUCUUACAAAUAACUAGACAUCAUUUCCCCUGCUUGGAUCUUGUCGACUACGAAUGUUGUGUCCAGCAGUUUUUGUUCCACCAUGAUUCCACCUGACAGACAAGGAUUUCUGGUUGACAGUUGUUAUAACAAUAUCUGACAAGUUUAAAGUCCUAACUGAAUUUGUAAUGCUUCCCCUUCUCCACUCAGGUUAAAAAGUAUCUUUCACUAAUAUUAAUUUCAUCGGUAACAUGAAUUAAAAGUUCCAUGGCUGCACUAUGAAAUAAAGCUAGUAGAAAUCA
Long non-coding RNA from Chinchilla lanigera (long-tailed chinchilla), 1166 nucleotides. RefSeq lists it as uncharacterized. The transcript is spliced from 4 exons. The record is from RefSeq and is a predicted model, not a curated record. Lineage: Eukaryota; Metazoa; Chordata; Mammalia; Rodentia; Chinchillidae.